Molecule: long non-coding RNA, 216 nt
Organism: Megalobrama amblycephala (Wuchang bream)
Lineage: Eukaryota; Metazoa; Chordata; Actinopteri; Cypriniformes; Xenocyprididae
Exons: 2
Source: RefSeq, a predicted model, not a curated record
CAAAGCCUUUGAAAGCUUGAAAACUAAUCCUGUAACCCUGAGUUUGUUCAUCUAGGCCCCUGGUCUUUGAACUGGAUUUCGGCCAUAUAAAGAAAUUGCAGAAAUAAGCAAGAGCUUUAUGAUUAGAAGAUAAACGUCACUCACAGCUUCCACAAAGGUCAGAAGCCACACGGAGAGGUCAAAGAAGAGACAUAAGUUUCCUCUAAAGGUGAGAAG